AGAACGAACGCUGGCGGCAAGCCUCAAACAUGCAAGUCUAGGGGGUGUAGCAAUACAUCACCGGCGGACGGGUGCGUAACACGUGGGAAUAUACCUUUUGGUUCGGAACAACGCAGGGAAACUUGCGCUAAUACCGAAUGUGCCCUUACGGGGAAAGAUUUAUCGCCAAAGGAUUAGCCCGCGUAGGAUUAGCUAGUUGGUGAGGUAAUGGCUCACCAAGGCUCCGAUCCUUAGCUGUUCUGAGAGGAAGAUCAGCCACACUGGGACUGAGACACGGCCCAGACUCCUACGGGAGGCAGCAGUUGGGAAUCUUGGACAAUGGGGAACCCUGAUCCAGCCAUGCCGCGUGAGUGAUGAAGGCCUUGGGUUGUAAAACUCUUUCGACGGGACGAUAAUGACGGUACCCGUAGAGAAGCUCCGGCUAACUUCGCGCCAGCAGCCGC
RNAcentral lists this ribosomal RNA (443 nucleotides) under uncultured bacterium. Its description in RNAcentral is "SSU rRNA". It matches the Rfam family "Bacterial small subunit ribosomal RNA", at positions 26 to 518 of the family's 1533-position model. The record is from RNAcentral.